RNAcentral lists this transfer RNA (73 nucleotides) under Hordeum vulgare. RNAcentral's name for it is "tRNA-OTHER". The record is from RNAcentral. Lineage: Eukaryota; Viridiplantae; Streptophyta; Magnoliopsida; Poales; Poaceae.
CGCUCCGUAGCCCGACUGGUUGGUGCGGUUGAUUGCAACCAGCAGUUCCUGGGUUCGACUCCUAGUGGAGCCG